RNAcentral lists this ribosomal RNA (48 nucleotides) under uncultured fungus. Its description in RNAcentral is "partial 5.8S ribosomal RNA". It matches the Rfam family "5.8S ribosomal RNA", at positions 1 to 48 of the family's 154-position model. From Rfam's summary of the family: 5.8S ribosomal RNA (5.8S rRNA) is a component of the large subunit of the eukaryotic ribosome. It is transcribed by RNA polymerase I as part of the 45S precursor that also contains 18S and 28S rRNA. Functionally, it is thought that 5.8S rRNA may be involved in ribosome translocation. The record is from RNAcentral. Lineage: Eukaryota; Fungi.
AACUUUCAACAACGGAUCUCUUGGCUCUCGCAUCGAUGAAGAACGCAG